This 2902-nucleotide ribosomal RNA is filed under the name Escherichia coli. Its description in RNAcentral is "bacterial LSU rRNA". It matches the Rfam family "Bacterial large subunit ribosomal RNA". Lineage: Bacteria; Pseudomonadati; Pseudomonadota; Gammaproteobacteria; Enterobacterales; Enterobacteriaceae. The record is from RNAcentral.
UUAAGCGACUAAGCGUACACGGUGGAUGCCCUGGCAGUCAGAGGCGAUGAAGGACGUGCUAAUCUGCGAUAAGCGUCGGUAAGGUGAUAUGAACCGUUAUAACCGGCGAUUUCCGAAUGGGGAAACCCAGUGUGAUUCGUCACACUAUCAUUAACUGAAUCCAUAGGUUAAUGAGGCGAACCGGGGGAACUGAAACAUCUAAGUACCCCGAGGAAAAGAAAUCAACCGAGAUUCCCCCAGUAGCGGCGAGCGAACGGGGAGGAGCCCAGAGCCUGAAUCAGUGUGUGUGUUAGUGGAAGCGUCUGGAAAGGCGCGCGAUACAGGGUGACAGCCCCGUACACAAAAAUGCACAUGCUGUGAGCUCGAUGAGUAGGGCGGGACACGUGGUAUCCUGUCUGAAUAUGGGGGGACCAUCCUCCAAGGCUAAAUACUCCUGACUGACCGAUAGUGAACCAGUACCGUGAGGGAAAGGCGAAAAGAACCCCGGCGAGGGGAGUGAAAAAGAACCUGAAACCGUGUACGUACAAGCAGUGGGAGCACGCUUAGGCGUGUGACUGCGUACCUUUUGUAUAAUGGGUCAGCGACUUAUAUUCUGUAGCAAGGUUAACCGAAUAGGGGAGCCGAAGGGAAACCGAGUCUUAACUGGGCGUUAAGUUGCAGGGUAUAGACCCGAAACCCGGUGAUCUAGCCAUGGGCAGGUUGAAGGUUGGGUAACACUAACUGGAGGACCGAACCGACUAAUGUUGAAAAAUUAGCGGAUGACUUGUGGCUGGGGGUGAAAGGCCAAUCAAACCGGGAGAUAGCUGGUUCUCCCCGAAAGCUAUUUAGGUAGCGCCUCGUGAAUUCAUCUCCGGGGGUAGAGCACUGUUUCGGCAAGGGGGUCAUCCCGACUUACCAACCCGAUGCAAACUGCGAAUACCGGAGAAUGUUAUCACGGGAGACACACGGCGGGUGCUAACGUCCGUCGUGAAGAGGGAAACAACCCAGACCGCCAGCUAAGGUCCCAAAGUCAUGGUUAAGUGGGAAACGAUGUGGGAAGGCCCAGACAGCCAGGAUGUUGGCUUAGAAGCAGCCAUCAUUUAAAGAAAGCGUAAUAGCUCACUGGUCGAGUCGGCCUGCGCGGAAGAUGUAACGGGGCUAAACCAUGCACCGAAGCUGCGGCAGCGACGCUGAUGCGUUGUUGGGUAGGGGAGCGUUCUGUAAGCCUGUGAAGGUGUACUGUGAGGUAUGCUGGAGGUAUCAGAAGUGCGAAUGCUGACAUAAGUAACGAUAAAGCGGGUGAAAAGCCCGCUCGCCGGAAGACCAAGGGUUCCUGUCCAACGUUAAUCGGGGCAGGGUGAGUCGACCCCUAAGGCGAGGCCGAAAGGCGUAGUCGAUGGGAAACAGGUUAAUAUUCCUGUACUUGGUGUUACUGCGAAGGGGGGACGGAGAAGGCUAUGUUGGCCGGGCGACGGUUGUCCCGGUUUAAGCGUGUAGGCUGGUUUUCCAGGCAAAUCCGGAAAAUCAAGGCUGAGGCGUGAUGACGAGGCACUACGGUGCUGAAGCAACAAAUGCCCUGCUUCCAGGAAAAGCCUCUAAGCAUCAGGUAACAUCAAAUCGUACCCCAAACCGACACAGGUGGUCAGGUAGAGAAUACCAAGGCGCUUGAGAGAACUCGGGUGAAGGAACUAGGCAAAAUGGUGCCGUAACUUCGGGAGAAGGCACGCUGAUAUGUAGGUGAAGUCCCUCGCGGAUGGAGCUGAAAUCAGUCGAAGAUACCAGCUGGCUGCAACUGUUUAUUAAAAACACAGCACUGUGCAAACACGAAAGUGGACGUAUACGGUGUGACGCCUGCCCGGUGCCGGAAGGUUAAUUGAUGGGGUCAGCGCAAGCGAAGCUCUUGAUCGAAGCCCCGGUAAACGGCGGCCGUAACUAUAACGGUCCUAAGGUAGCGAAAUUCCUUGUCGGGUAAGUUCCGACCUGCACGAAUGGCGUAAUGAUGGCCAGGCUGUCUCCACCCGAGACUCAGUGAAAUUGAACUCGCUGUGAAGAUGCAGUGUACCCGCGGCAAGACGGAAAGACCCCGUGAACCUUUACUAUAGCUUGACACUGAACAUUGAGCCUUGAUGUGUAGGAUAGGUGGGAGGCUUUGAAGUGUGGACGCCAGUCUGCAUGGAGCCGACCUUGAAAUACCACCCUUUAAUGUUUGAUGUUCUAACGUUGACCCGUAAUCCGGGUUGCGGACAGUGUCUGGUGGGUAGUUUGACUGGGGCGGUCUCCUCCUAAAGAGUAACGGAGGAGCACGAAGGUUGGCUAAUCCUGGUCGGACAUCAGGAGGUUAGUGCAAUGGCAUAAGCCAGCUUGACUGCGAGCGUGACGGCGCGAGCAGGUGCGAAAGCAGGUCAUAGUGAUCCGGUGGUUCUGAAUGGAAGGGCCAUCGCUCAACGGAUAAAAGGUACUCCGGGGAUAACAGGCUGAUACCGCCCAAGAGUUCAUAUCGACGGCGGUGUUUGGCACCUCGAUGUCGGCUCAUCACAUCCUGGGGCUGAAGUAGGUCCCAAGGGUAUGGCUGUUCGCCAUUUAAAGUGGUACGCGAGCUGGGUUUAGAACGUCGUGAGACAGUUCGGUCCCUAUCUGCCGUGGGCGCUGGAGAACUGAGGGGGGCUGCUCCUAGUACGAGAGGACCGGAGUGGACGCAUCACUGGUGUUCGGGUUGUCAUGCCAAUGGCACUGCCCGGUAGCUAAAUGCGGAAGAGAUAAGUGCUGAAAGCAUCUAAGCACGAAACUUGCCCCGAGAUGAGUUCUCCCUGACUCCUUGAGAGUCCUGAAGGAACGUUGAAGACGACGACGUUGAUAGGCCGGGUGUGUAAGCGCAGCGAUGCGUUGAGCUAACCGGUACUAAUGAACCGUGAGGCUUAACCUU